AGCGAACGCUGGCGGCAGGCCUAACACAUGCAAGUCGAACGAACUCUUCGGAGUUAGUGGCGGACGGGUGAGUAACACGUGGGAACGUGCCCUUUGGUUCGGAAUAACUCAGGGAAACUUGUGCUAAUACCGAAUGUGCCCUUCGGGGGAAAGAUUUAUCGCCAUUAGAGCGGCCCGCGUCUGAUUAGCUAGUUGGUGAGGUAACGGAUCACCAAGGCGACGAUCAGUAGCUGGUCUGAGAGGAUGACCAGCCACACUGGGACUGAGACACGGCCCAGACUCCUACGGGAGGCAGCAGUGGGGAAUCUUGCGCAAUGGGCGAAAGCCUGACGCAGCCAUGCCGCGUGAAUGAUGAAGGUCUUAGGAUUGUAAAAUUCUUUCACCGGGGACGAUAAUGACGGUACCCGGAGAAGAAGCCCCGGCUAACUUCGUG
This 433-nucleotide ribosomal RNA is filed under the name uncultured bacterium. RNAcentral describes it as "partial 16S ribosomal RNA". It matches the Rfam family "Bacterial small subunit ribosomal RNA", at positions 29 to 507 of the family's 1533-position model. The record is from RNAcentral.